Molecule: non-coding RNA, 72 nt
Organism: Ictidomys tridecemlineatus (thirteen-lined ground squirrel)
Lineage: Eukaryota; Metazoa; Chordata; Mammalia; Rodentia; Sciuridae
Source: Rfam
GGGGUUGUAGCUCAGUGGUAAAGCACUUACCUUGCAUGCAUGAGGCCCUGGGUUCAAUCCUCAGCAUCACAU